This 3218-nucleotide ribosomal RNA is filed under the name Pyrenophora seminiperda CCB06. Its description in RNAcentral is "bacterial LSU rRNA". The stretch from base 703 to 3218 matches the Rfam family "Bacterial large subunit ribosomal RNA", at positions 1 to 2521 of the family's 2925-position model. Lineage: Eukaryota; Fungi; Ascomycota; Dothideomycetes; Pleosporales; Pleosporaceae. The record is from RNAcentral.
UUUCAAACCAGUUGUUAUUUAUGAUAACGCUGAUGUGGACAAAAUACGGAUCUUAACAGAAAACCGUAAUAAAGUAGCUGUAUAUCGUUGAGUAAACAAGGUAAACGGUAAUAUUUACAUUGGUAGUUCUACUAAUUUACAUGUUAGAAUGUAUACAUAUUUUAGUUUACGUUCUCUUUUUUUUUGUUCAUUUUUUCUUUUACAGCUUUUUAGUAGUUGAUUUGGGUAAAAGAAAAAAUGAACAAAAAAAAAGGAGCCAAAAGUAAUAGACCUAUUGAUAGAGCUCUUUUAAAACACGGGUUUUCUAACUUUAGAUUAGAAAUCUUGGAGUAUUGUUCCUAUGAAGAUGUACUUAAAAGAGAGCAAUAUUACUUAGAUCUUUAUAAACCUCAUUAUAAUAUAGCUACUAUCGCAGGCUCUACUUUAGGAUAUAAACAUUCUCAAGAGUCACUAGAAAAAAUGAGAAACAUUAUUCUAAGUGAUGAAGUAAGAGAAAGAAAAGCUCUUUCUACUGUUAAUGCUUCAAUAGCUAAUAGAUUGCCUAUUAGUGUUAAAAAUAUAAUAACUAAUGAUGUAACAAGUUAUGCUAGCAUGACUGAGGCAGGUAAAGCAUUAGGUGUAACAAGAGCUACAGUAAGUCAAGCAUUGUUGCAUAAUAGACUAAUUAAAAAAACGUAUUCUAUCUGUAAAAUUAAAUAAAAACUUCAAAAAAAAAUAAAAUUAUAUUAUCUGUUAAAUGGAUAGUAAUAAAAUGCUAUUUAGGGAGAAAAGUCUCAGCUCGGCCUAAGUUGGAAUAAAUAAAAUUCCACGGCCAAAGAGAUAAUUUGUAUCGUUGUAAAGAUAUCCAAAGAACUGUGGUAAGUUAGUGAAAGACAAUCCUGACUACUAUAGCUGGUUUUCCGCGAAACAUAUGUAAGUAUGUAGUUUAAAUAACAUCAUAGCAGGUACAGAACUGUAAUCUCGGACAAUUUGUGCAUUUAUACCCUAUUUGGUAUAGAAUGCCUUGUGCAUAUGGGGGGGUCGUGAAGACUCUAUUCGCGAGUAUUUGCUCUCGGAAGGGCAAUGAUGAGUGUUGAACUAUCAGACAUUUAACGAUAAGGUUGUGUGUCAAAAGGGAAACAGCCCAGAACAAGUGUUUAAGGUUCCAAAGUUUUUGUUAAGUGAAAGUAAGGAAGUAUUUAAACUAUACAACCAGGAAAUAGGCUUAGAAGCGGCCAUUUUUUAAAGACCUCGUAACAGAGCACUGGUUCAAACGGUUAAUUAGUUAACCUUAUAAGUUAAAAGCGCCGAAGAUAUAACGGAUCUAAAACAAAACACCGACACCUUGUCCAUAAUAAUAAUAUUAGGUUAAAGCCUAUUUUAAUAUACUUAAAGGUUAUUUAAGUAUUAUUUAUGGGGUAGCGGAACAUUGGGUAAAUAGGAUUAAAAUAGAAGACGGGUAAAGUAUUGGUACCCCUCGUACCUACCUGUUUUAUUUAUAAAACGGUUAAGGAAAAGUCACGAUGGGGGAGUACAAUGGGACCUAAUACAUACCAAGCUCUUUAAAGAAUUACAUUGGUAAUUUGCUUGCUAAAUAGCGGGUUUCCAUAAAUAUCCCAAGUGAGAAUGCUGACACGAGUAACGAAAAAGAGGGAAAAAAAAAAAUUGGGCAAACCCAAUGGAACAGGGAUAGAUUGGAAUAUAGUAAGGACGUAAAUAAACUAAAAUAGAUGAUACGCCCCUCCUCUGUUGACAAGGAACUCUCGCCUUAAGCUUAUGGGAAAGUUAAUCGGUCUCUAAAUUUAACCUAAAGGAUAAAAUGAUGAGGAAAAGUAUAUGUGACAACAUAAAAUGGAGUAAAAUGUUCUGGAAAAGCAUAUACUAAGCAAGGAGGGAGAAAUUUGUCUAGGGAAUAAACUAAUUAGAAGAUACUAGGCUUUUUUUUCCAUAGGGAAUAAACUGAGACAGAUGAUACUAGCCCUUGCUAAUAUAAACCGUACCUAAAAACUACCACAAGUAAGCUAGUAGAGAAUACGAAGGCGUUUGAGCUAACAAUCAUUAAGGAACUCGGCAAAUUGACACCGUAACUGAGGGAGAAGGUGUGCCAUUCCUACUGAUUAAUAUCAGUUUAGGAAGAGGAGACAUAAAAUGGUGUUGCACGACUGUUUAAUUAAAACACAGCACUUUGCGUAAGAUGUAAAUCAAUGUAUAGAGUGCGCUAUCUGCCCAAUGAUGGCUGGUUAACGGAUUUACUUAGACGACUAAAAUAGCCUAGGUUUUGAAGGAACCCCCAUUUAAUGGCGGCCUUACCUAUAAGGGUCCUAAGGUAGCGAAAUACCUUGGCAUUUAAAUGAUGUCGCGCAUGAAUGAUCUCACGAUGCAACAGCUGUCUCAAUGAUUGGCUCAGUGAAACUGGAAUGGCAGUGAAGAUACUGCCUAUCUCUAGAUAGACGAGAAGACCCCAUGCAGCUUUACUGUUACUAGUUAUAGGGUAUAAUUUAACAGGUUUUAGGGAAUAAGGUAGUUGAACGACAAAAUUGAAACACCUUUACUCUGGUUGUUAUAUCAGUAGAAUAGGUUACAUUAUUGUAACGGACGUCUGAAUGUAAUCCAUAAAAGGAGGGAGAUUAUAUCAAGCUCAGGAGACAAUGGCUAGCAGAUGGUUUAUGCGGGGCACAGAUCCCAUAAAGAGUACCUGGGAGUAUCCAAAUUUAUUUUUGUAAUAUGCUAUACGCAAAUUAUAUGGGGCUUUUAUUAAAUAAUUGCCUUGUAUAUUUUAAUUUUUUAAUUACUAUAUUUAGUUUGUUAUUUUUUAUAUUUACUUUUAUAAAGUAUCUAUAACUAAUUCAGUUAUAUUUCUAUUUAAGUUAGAACUAAAACAAUUUUAUAUAAGUAAGAUUUUACCUAUGUGGAAAAUAGGUGUAUAUAUAGUGUUAAGAAUGAAUAUCUAAUUGUGAGGCCCAAGAAAAAUUGAGGUAGUAAAAGAAGAUAUAAUUAUAACACUAUUAGUUAUUUUUUUUUUACAGAAUACCUGUAUAAGAGAAAUGAUGUUGAUAUAUACUUCCUAAGUUUAAUGGCUUAAUCUUGCUUUACUGUUUGACAUACACGUCUAUCAGUUGCGUAAGCAGGGCAUAAAGACCGCAAGACGCAGUAAGGAAAGGUCUUGUAUUAUUGAAAAAGCUACGCUGGGGAUAACAGGCUAAUUGCGCCAGAGAGUACAAAUUGAGUGCGCAGUUUGG